Molecule: ribosomal RNA, 491 nt
Filed under: uncultured bacterium
Lineage: Bacteria
Description: bacterial SSU rRNA
Rfam family: Bacterial small subunit ribosomal RNA
Source: RNAcentral
GGCUCAGAUUGAACGCUGGCGGCAUGCCUUACACAUGCAAGUCGAACGGCAGCACGGGAGCAAUCCUGGUGGCGAGUGGCGAACGGGUGAGUAAUAUAUCGGAACGUGCCCAGUCGUGGGGGAUAACGUAGCGAAAGCUACGCUAAUACCGCAUACGAUCUAUGGAUGAAAGCGGGGGAUCGCAAGACCUCGCGCGAUUGGAGCGGCCGAUAUCAGAUUAGGUAGUUGGUGGGGUAAAAGCCUACCAAGCCUUCGAUCUGUAGCUGGUCUGAGAGGACGACCAGCCACACUGGAACCGAGACACGGUCCAGACUCCUACGGGAGGCAGCAGUGGGGAAUUUUGGACAAUGGGCGCAAGCCUGAUCCAGCAAUGCCGCGUGCAGGAUGAAGGCCUUCGGGUUGUAAACUGCUUUUGUACGGAACGAAACGGCUCUUUCUAAUAAAGGGAGCUAAUGACGGUACCGUAAGAAUAAGCACCGGCUAACUACGUG